Molecule: long non-coding RNA, 704 nt
Organism: Oreochromis aureus
Lineage: Eukaryota; Metazoa; Chordata; Actinopteri; Cichliformes; Cichlidae
Source: Ensembl
CUGCCACUGCGCUGUCUCUCCAGCGCGGGCCCAGACCCGCCGUGUUUCCCAGGAGGGAACAAGCAUCGAAGGCGUUGGAAGGGGAGGGGGGAUGAGUGAGUGCUUAUCAGUUUUAAAAGAGAGUAGAAAAUUCUUCUACAGCAACUCCACCACACAGAAAGUCAUGUGGGUGAUGUGGGUAGUCCUGAUAUGGAUCAAUAUCUGCUUCUUCCUUCCCGUGACCAUACUGUUCUUCUGCUGUGUGUGUUGUGCGGGGCGGAGAUAUCAGGUUCCUGUCAUCUAUUACACAAACCUCAUCAUCUCCAUUCUGAUCCAUCACAGCACAAUGUUCGCUUGGUGGGGAAUAGUGCACGGCACCAUUGCAUGUUUCUUUUACUAUUUGGCUGUGACGGCCAGUCUUUACUUCAGGUUGUGCAUUGCUUUGGAAAGGUAUUGUUUCAUCGCCUGCCCACUGUUGGACUGCCUCAGACAAACUGAGGGUUCUGUACUGGUGCAGAAGAGUCAGGUCUCUAUCAUCUAUUACACAAAUCUCCUCAUCACCAAACUAAUCCACAUCUGCAUAAUGACCAUUUGGGUGACAAGAGUGGAAAGCAUCAUCACCAUCAUUAUUUAUUACUGUGUUAUGAUGGCCAACCUUUACUUCAGGAUGUGCAUUGCUCUGGAAAGGUAUUUUUCCAUCAUGCACCCACUGCUGGACUGUCUCG